CAGGUUAAACUUAUUAGUUAAGAAUUUCAUUUACACUGAAAUUAAAAUUGUGCGAUUCAAUAUAAUCUGA
This 70-nucleotide transfer RNA is filed under the name Symploce tubercularis. Its description in RNAcentral is "tRNA-Val". Lineage: Eukaryota; Metazoa; Arthropoda; Insecta; Blattodea; Blattellidae. The record is from RNAcentral.